GUCCCAUUCGGAUUNUAGUCUGNAACCCGACUACAUGAAGCUGGAAUCGCUAGUAACCGCGGAUCAGAAUGCCGCGGUGAAUACGUUCCCGGGUCUUGUACACACCGCCCGUCACACCAUGGGAGUCGGAAAUGCCCGAAGUCUGUGACCCAACCUACGGGAGGGAGCAGCCGAAGGCAGGUCGGAUGACUGGGGUGAAGUCGUAACAAGGUACC
RNAcentral lists this ribosomal RNA (215 nucleotides) under uncultured bacterium. RNAcentral's name for it is "partial 16S ribosomal RNA". It matches the Rfam family "Bacterial small subunit ribosomal RNA", at positions 1285 to 1500 of the family's 1533-position model. The record is from RNAcentral.